GACUAACGCUGGCGGCGUGCCUAACACAUGCAAGUCGAACGGAAGUAAGACUCCGGUUUUACUUUAGUGGCGAACGGGUGAGUAACGCGUGAGAAACCUGCCCUUCAGUGGGGGACAACAGUUGGAAACGACUGCUAAUACCGCACAACACUUUAGGACCGCAUGGUACAGAAGUCAAAGCUUUAUGUGCUGAGAGAUGGUCUCGCGUCUGAUUAGCUAGAUGGCGGGGUAACGGCCCACCAUGGCGACGAUCAGUAGCCGGUCUGAGAGGAUGAACGGCCACAUUGGGACUGAGAUACGGCCCAG
RNAcentral lists this ribosomal RNA (306 nucleotides) under uncultured bacterium. Its description in RNAcentral is "bacterial SSU rRNA". It matches the Rfam family "Bacterial small subunit ribosomal RNA", at positions 28 to 334 of the family's 1533-position model. The record is from RNAcentral.